GGUGGGGGUGGAGAGUGGUAGUAGUAUGGUUUCUUAGGUGGUGAGUACACUGGUGGUGGUGGUGAAGAGUAAUGGUAAGGUGGUUUAACUGGAGGGUACACCCCCGGUGGUGGGGAAUGUGGAGGGUACACCUUAGGUGGUGGUGGAGAACUAUAAUGGUAAGGUGGUGAGACUGGUGGAUACACCUCAGGUGGUGGUGAAUGUGGAGGGUAUUUCUUAGGUGGUGGUGGGGAAGAGUAAUGGUAAGGUGGUUUAACUGGUGGGUACACCUUGGGUGGUGGUGAAUGUGGAGGGUACACCUUAGGAGGUGGUGGUGAAGAGUAAUGGUAAGGUGGUGAAACUGGAGGAUACACCUUAGGUGGUGGUGAAUGAGGAGGAUACUUCUUAGGUGGUGGUGGUGAAGAGUAAUGGUAAGGUGGUGAAACUGGAGGGUACACCUUAGGUGGUGGUGAAUGUGGAGGGUACACCUUAGGUGGUGGUGGUGAAGGGUAGUGGUAAGGUGGGGAAACUGGAGGGUAGACCUUAGAAGGUGGAGGAGGUGAAGAAUACAAGUAGCUGUUUGCUGAAAUUUGAGAUGUAUGGAGAGAGACACUAUUAUGGCUAAUAGAAGAGUCAAAGUGGCAGAGGCCAUUGGAGACCUCAUUUUUUUUUUUUU
This 655-nucleotide long non-coding RNA is filed under the name Medicago truncatula (barrel medic). Its description in RNAcentral is "long non-coding RNA (MTRU_LNC007736)". The record is from RNAcentral. Lineage: Eukaryota; Viridiplantae; Streptophyta; Magnoliopsida; Fabales; Fabaceae.